GGGUUGUGAGGUUAAGCGACUAAGCGUACACGGUGGAUGCCCUGGCAGUCAGAGGCGAUGAAGGGCGUGCUAAUCUGCGAUAAGCGCCGGUAAGGUGAUAUGAACCGUUAUAACCGGCGAUACCCGAAUGGGGAAACCCAGUGUGAUUCGUCACACUAUCAUUAACUGAAUCCAUAGGUUAAUGAGGCGAACCGGGGGAACUGAAACAUCUAAGUACCCCGAGGAAAAGAAAUCAACCGAGAUUCCCCCAGUAGCGGCGAGCGAACGGGGAGGAGCCCAGAGCCUGAAUCAGCAUGUGUGUUAGUGGAAGCGUCUGGAAAGGCGCGCGAUACAGGGUGACAGCCCCGUACACAAAAGCGCAUGUGCUGUGAGCUCGAUGAGUAGGGCGGGACACGUGGUAUCCUGUCUGAAUAUGGGGGGACCAUCCUCCAAGGCUAAAUACUCCUGACUGACCGAUAGUGAACCAGUACCGUGAGGGAAAGGCGAAAAGAACCCCGGCGAGGGGAGUGAAAAAGAACCUGAAACCGUGUACGUACAAGCAGUGGGAGCCCCACCACCAAAGCAUUUGCUGUACCGCGUUGACGGAGCGAAGCGACGUCAAACCGAUAA
This 609-nucleotide ribosomal RNA is filed under the name Salmonella enterica subsp. enterica serovar Enteritidis. RNAcentral describes it as "partial 23S ribosomal RNA". It matches the Rfam family "Bacterial large subunit ribosomal RNA", at positions 1 to 587 of the family's 2925-position model. The record is from RNAcentral. Lineage: Bacteria; Pseudomonadati; Pseudomonadota; Gammaproteobacteria; Enterobacterales; Enterobacteriaceae.